GAUGAAGAACGCAGCGAAAUGCGAUACGUAAUGUGAAUUGCAGAAUUCAGUGAAUCAUCGAAUCUUUGAACGCAUAUUGCGCUCUUUGGUAUUCCGAAGAGCAUGCUUGUUUGAGUAUCAGUAAACACCUCAACCUCUUCUUGAUUUUUCAAAAGGAGGGUGGACUUGAGCUAUCCCAACAACCUUUACCGGUCGGCGGGCGGCUUGUAAUGCAGGUGCAGCUGGACUUUUAUCUGAGCUAAAAGCAUAUCUAUUUAGUCCUCGUCAAACAGGAUUAUUACUUUUGCUGCAGCUAACAUAAAGGAUAAUUGUCCUCUUUGCUGACUGAUGCAGGAUUUUACGACACUUUAUGUGUUGUUCAACUCGAUCUCAAAUCAAGUAAGACUACCCGCUGAACUUAAGCAUAUCAAUAAGCGGAGGA
This 421-nucleotide unclassified non-coding RNA is filed under the name soil metagenome. RNAcentral's name for it is "partial contains 5.8S ribosomal RNA, internal transcribed spacer 2, and large subunit ribosomal RNA". The stretch from base 1 to 120 matches the Rfam family "5.8S ribosomal RNA", at positions 35 to 154 of the family's 154-position model. The record is from RNAcentral.